AGUGAACGCUGGCGGUAGGCCUAACACAUGCAAGUCGAACGGCAGCACAGUAAGAGCUUGCUCUUACGGGUGGCGAGUGGCGGACGGGUGAGGAAUACAUCGGAAUCUACUUUUUCGUGGGGGAUAACGUAGGGAAACUUACGCUAAUACCGCAUACGACCUACGGGUGAAAGCAGGGGAUCUUCGGACCUUGCGCGAUUGAAUGAGCCGAUGUCGGAUUAGCUAGUUGGCGGGGUAAAGGCCCACCAAGGCGACGAUCCGUAGCUGGUCUGAGAGGAUGAUCAGCCACACUGGAGCUGAGACACGGUCCAGACUCCUACGGGAGGCAGCAGUGGGGAAUAUUGGACAAUGGGCGCAAGCCUGAUACAGCCAUACCGCGUGGGUGAAGAAGGCCUUCGGGUUGUAAAGCCCUUUUGUUGGGAAAGAAAAGCAGCAGGUUAAUACCCCGCUGUUCCGACGGUACCCAAAGAAUAAGCACCGGCUAACUUCGUG
RNAcentral lists this ribosomal RNA (492 nucleotides) under uncultured bacterium. Its description in RNAcentral is "partial 16S ribosomal RNA". It matches the Rfam family "Bacterial small subunit ribosomal RNA", at positions 29 to 507 of the family's 1533-position model. The record is from RNAcentral.